ACCCCAAAACAUAUCUAUUGUUUCACCAUGAAAAGUGCAAGAGGAUUAUUGGAUUAGCCCAUGCCACAUUCCCGUUUUAAACUGAUUUAGAAUGGCCUUCAUAGUGAGAGUCCACCUGACAUGGCUGUCGCCUCUUCCGGAAACCAUCAUUACACCCGUGGGUCGAUGCAUUCUCUCCCUUCUCUGAAGAGCAGUUGACCCAUGACAGUUACUUCUUUAUGCCAGAGUAAGAGGGAAUGCCUAAGACCACUGGAGUUCAGAAUUGUUAGUUAAACAAAGUUACUUCUAGUUAUUAGGAAUGCAUUAUUUACAAAGUGUUCAGUUCUGCAUGAACUAUACAUCCCAGUUUCUGAACAGCUAGGAUUUGGAGAAGUGGAAUGAACUUUUAAUUCAGAUGCUAACCAAAAAUCUGAUGAAAAACUGCAAUAAAAGAACUGUUUGGAGAGAUUAAAAGAUAUCUUUUGUGUCACUUGGCCUACCCUGCUAUGUGAAAUCCUUUCUCAAGUGAGAUACUGAGGUUUUGUUGCUACAUGGAGAUAUUAUUUCACAAAAAGUGAGUUAAAGUUUUUUAUGGACUUUGUGUUACCUUGUGCUGGGAUGAUCAUUAUGGAAGAGUUAAG
Long non-coding RNA from Tyto alba (common barn owl), 620 nucleotides. RefSeq lists it as uncharacterized. The record is from RefSeq and is a predicted model, not a curated record. The transcript is spliced from 4 exons. NCBI's taxonomy places the organism in Eukaryota, Metazoa, Chordata, Aves, Strigiformes, Tytonidae.